GUCUCUGUCUCUGAUAGGUUGGCAGGGUGUGGACUGCUCCAUCCCGUGCUCCAGUGGUACCUGGGGACUGAGCUGCAACCAGACCUGUCAGUGUGCCAACGAGGCGGCCUGCGACCCCUCCAACGGCACCUGCACCUGCUCCCCGGGCUGGAGGGAUGAGUACUGCGACUUACCGUGUCCUGAGGGGUCAUAUGGGCUAGACUGCAGAGAGAGAUGCGACUGUUUCAACGCAGACGGAUGUGAUCCGGUGACCGGCUUCUGCCGCUGCCUUGCAGGCUGGACCGGUGUCCAUUGCGACAGUGUUUGUGAGGAGGGACGCUGGGGGCCAAACUGCUCCUACAGCUGCACCUGUGAGAACGGAGGCUCCUGCUCCCCGGAGGACGGCACCUGUGUGUGCGCUCCGGGCUACCGUGGCACCAACUGCAGAAGGGCCUGUUCCCCUGGUUUCUACGGACAUCGUUGCAGUCAGUCGUGUCCUCAGUGUAUCCAUAGCGACGGGGCGUGCCACCAUGUCACCGGCCACUGUGAAUGUCUCUCUGGCUUCUUCGGCUCCCUCUGUA
This is a long non-coding RNA of Notothenia coriiceps (black rockcod), 560 nucleotides long. RefSeq lists it as uncharacterized. The transcript has 4 exons. Lineage: Eukaryota; Metazoa; Chordata; Actinopteri; Perciformes; Nototheniidae. The record is from RefSeq and is a predicted model, not a curated record.